Molecule: transfer RNA, 82 nt
Filed under: Fonsecaea pedrosoi CBS 271.37
Lineage: Eukaryota; Fungi; Ascomycota; Eurotiomycetes; Chaetothyriales; Herpotrichiellaceae
Also listed under: 1 other name
Description: tRNA-Leu (AAG) (tRNA-Leu-AAG-1-1)
Rfam family: tRNA
About the family: Transfer RNA (tRNA) molecules are approximately 80 nucleotides in length. Their secondary structure includes four short double-helical elements and three loops (D, anti-codon, and T loops).
Source: RNAcentral
GGAGAGAUGGCCGAGUUGGUUAUGGCGUCAGGUUAAGGUCCUGAUGGGGCAACCCGCGUGGGUUCGAAUCCCACUCUCUUCA